CGAGGAUAGGCCUAAGGGAAAAAAGAAGAGAGAGGGUGAAAAACAGCCGUUGGAUCACAGAAAUUUGAAGCAGAGAGAUUAUGAAGAAUCAAAGCAAAAGGAAUGGGACCAAAUGUUCACUAUAGUCCUAAAGAGAGCUGAAAAAGCAAAAGCAGAGAGAGGAGAGAUCUUUGCUUUUGAUCUCCACUUGAGAAGAAAAAUCCAUUAAUCUUUCACAUGGAAAAGAGUGCUCUUGUAUUAAGUUGAAAUCCAUGAGCCCCCACCCUUAUAUGAAUGGAAAGGGGUGCUCUCUUGUACUACUAUUAAUAAAAACAUCCAAACCAACACACAAACAGGUGCAAGUAUGGUUUUUAUCAUGACUUAUAUUGUCUUAACACACACACACACACAACUGUUUAUGAACACAAGCAAGAGGGUUGCCCCUCAUGUGAUGUCUAUGUCAAUCUUGAUGCCCCA
Molecule: long non-coding RNA, 456 nt
Organism: Salvia splendens (bonfire salvia)
Lineage: Eukaryota; Viridiplantae; Streptophyta; Magnoliopsida; Lamiales; Lamiaceae
Exons: 2
Source: RefSeq, a predicted model, not a curated record